Molecule: long non-coding RNA, 662 nt
Organism: Haemorhous mexicanus (house finch)
Lineage: Eukaryota; Metazoa; Chordata; Aves; Passeriformes; Fringillidae
Exons: 4
Source: RefSeq, a predicted model, not a curated record
AGCGAGUAGGCGGAGAAGACGAGGAGCGGCGGAGGUCGGAAAGGAGCCGGUCCCUUCAGCGGGAAACGCCGGGGUGGCCCAGCGGGGACCGGCGCGGGGUCAUGGUCAGUUUUUGUCAGCAUUGCUGAGAAGUCACUCACGACAGCUGAUCAUUCUUCAUUAACAGCAGUACCAAAGAAUGGGAGGGAAGUGACAAGACUGCAUCUCUGAACAAGGGACUGAAACAGAGCAUAAAUCAAACUGUCCCCCACAGUUUUUGUCCUUGCACUUUCAUGAGCAACAGCAUUCCCACUGCUGCUUCAAGGAACUGGAGAGGUGUCAUUGGCAACCAUGCCUGUUGUCCCGUGAAAAGACUCUGGAAAAUGAAUGUCCACCUUUUCCUUCUCUGAUCCUUUUUAAAAUCCUUAUGUAAUACCUUGUGACCAGCUACUAUCACAGAAGACACGGAGAAACUUCCUACAUGCUUCUUGCAAGAUGUGUGUUCAACUGUGGAAAAUAUGCAGAGGCCUGUGAAGUUCAUGAGUAGGAGAUGUUUACAAAAAUAGUAUCUGUAUCAGAUCUAUAGAGGCAGGAAUCGUCCUGCAGGGGCUGUUGCUCCAGUAUGCUUCACUGCUGGCCUCCUGCCACUGGCAGUUUGGAUUCCCCAGUAAAAGCUACUUCUG